RNAcentral lists this ribosomal RNA (136 nucleotides) under Amphilophus citrinellus (Midas cichlid). The record is from RNAcentral. Lineage: Eukaryota; Metazoa; Chordata; Actinopteri; Cichliformes; Cichlidae.
AGUUACAGUAGGAACACUGUGCCAAGGAGCAUGGCCACAGAGCAUGCCCGAUCUUGUCUGCUCUGGGACACAAAGCAGGGCCAGGCCUUGUUAGUAUUUAGAGGAGACCACCUGGGAAUACCAGGUGCUGUAAAUU